AAACGUAGGGGGCAAGCGUUGUCCGGAAUUAUUGGGCGUAAAGAGUGCGGAGGCGGCACUAUAAGUCAUCGGUAAAAGAGUGGGGCUCAACCCCAUUGUGCCGAUGAAACUGUAGAGCUAGAGCAUAUUAGAGGUAAGUGGAAUUUCUAGUGUAGCGGUGGAAUGCGUAGAUAUUAGAAGGAACACCAGUGGCGAAGGCGGCUUACUGGGAUAUAGCUGACGCUCAAGCACGAGAGCGUGGGGAGCAAACAGGAUUAGAUACCCCGGUAGUCC
Molecule: ribosomal RNA, 273 nt
Filed under: uncultured bacterium
Lineage: Bacteria
Description: partial 16S ribosomal RNA
Rfam family: Bacterial small subunit ribosomal RNA
Source: RNAcentral